AUUAAGAGUUAAUAGCACAAGUCAUUAUUGCUAUUAGGUUUUUGAUCCCUGAAUUAAGGGAUGUGCGGUUAGUAUGAUAGUGAUCUUCCAAAGUUGAGUUGGUAGUUGAUUGAAUAGUAUAAUCUAACAGAUAAAAAUGAUCAAAGGAGUAGAUCUAACUGCGAAAACUUGAUAGUACAAAAUACUUGGUACUAUUGAUAACAUAAUAACCUGACUCUUUUGUAAAAUAUAUGUAACAUUGCUUGAAUAUAAUUGGAAAAU
RNAcentral lists this long non-coding RNA (261 nucleotides) under Ananas comosus (pineapple). RNAcentral describes it as "long non-coding RNA (ACOM_LNC006092)". The record is from RNAcentral. Lineage: Eukaryota; Viridiplantae; Streptophyta; Magnoliopsida; Poales; Bromeliaceae.